UACGUAGGGACCAAGCGUUGUUCGGAUUUACUGGGCGUAAAGGGCGCGUAGGCGGCAAUUCAAGUCAUCUGUGAAAUCUCCGGGCUUAACUCGGAACGGUCAGAUGAUACUGCUUUGCUAGAGUACAGAAGGGGCAAUCGGAAUUCUUGGUGUAGCGGUGAAAUGCGUAGAUAUCAAGAGGAACACCUGAGGUGAAGACGGGUUGCUGGGCUGAUACUGACGCUGAGGCGCGAAAGCCAGGGGAGCGAACGGG
This 253-nucleotide ribosomal RNA is filed under the name uncultured bacterium. RNAcentral describes it as "partial 16S ribosomal RNA". It matches the Rfam family "Bacterial small subunit ribosomal RNA", at positions 524 to 776 of the family's 1533-position model. The record is from RNAcentral.